Molecule: transfer RNA, 74 nt
Filed under: Rhodothermales bacterium
Lineage: Bacteria; Pseudomonadati; Rhodothermota; Rhodothermia; Rhodothermales
Also listed under: 2 other names
Description: tRNA-Pro
Rfam family: tRNA
About the family: Transfer RNA (tRNA) molecules are approximately 80 nucleotides in length.
Source: RNAcentral
CGAGGCGUGGCGCAGUCCGGUAGCGCAUCUGCUUUGGGAGCAGAGGGUCGUCGGUUCAAAUCCGGCCGCCUCGA